This 440-nucleotide ribosomal RNA is filed under the name uncultured Erwinia sp. RNAcentral's name for it is "bacterial SSU rRNA". It matches the Rfam family "Bacterial small subunit ribosomal RNA", at positions 358 to 789 of the family's 1533-position model. The record is from RNAcentral. Lineage: Bacteria; Pseudomonadati; Pseudomonadota; Gammaproteobacteria; Enterobacterales; Erwiniaceae.
GGAAUAUUGCACAAUGGGCGCAAGCCUGAUGCAGCCAUGCCGCGUGUAUGAAGAAGGCCUUCGGGUUGUAAAGUACUUUCAGUGGGGAGGAAGGCGAUGAAGUUAAUAGCUUCGUCGAUUGACGUUACCCGCAGAAGAAGCACCGGCUAACUCCGUGCCAGCAGCCGCGGUAAUACGGAGGGUGCAAGCGUUAAUCGGAAUUACUGGGCGUAAAGCGCACGCAGGCGGUCUGUCAAGUCGGAUGUGAAAUCCCCGGGCUCAACCUGGGAACUGCAUUCGAAACUGGCAGGCUAGAGUCUUGUAGAGGGGGGUAGAAUUCCAGGUGUAGCGGUGAAAUGCGUAGAGAUCUGGAGGAAUACCGGUGGCGAAGGCGGCCCCCUGGACAAAGACUGACGCUCAGGUGCGAAAGCGUGGGGAGCAAACAGGAUUAGAUACCCCUG